This 705-nucleotide long non-coding RNA is filed under the name Androctonus crassicauda. The record is from RNAcentral. Lineage: Eukaryota; Metazoa; Arthropoda; Arachnida; Scorpiones; Buthidae.
GUCUAAACAUUUCUAAUUUUACAUUAUUGAUCCUGAUAAACAUAGCUGCACAUUUGACAUUAUUUAAUAGUCAAUAAGAGAUGGAUGAGAAAUGUUAUGAAUUAAUAAUACAUAAUGAGGAUUUGACAGUUGCUGACCACCUAAGAAUUAAUUAUAAUGACUAACAGUUUAGAAAACAUAUUUAAUAAUAACUUUAGAAAAAAUGAUGAAAAGGAUAUAAAGUUGAAUAUAUUUGAUAUCACUGUCAGAACUGCCACCAAAAUAGCAAGCAACAAGAUGAUAGAUGAGCAGCACAUCAUCUGGUAUCAGGAGUUUCAUAAAAAUUUUUUUAAAUUUUUCUUUUUGUCACACAUUUAUGUAAAGCAUCAACUGAUUAACUCAUUUGAAUAAGAUGAUAUAGGUGACAUUUAUAUCGUAUAUUUAUGUCGAGAGAGACAAUAAACAUCAAUAGAUUAAAGGAUAAAGUAACCAUCAUGUAUUAAUGAAAGUGACUAAUGAAACAGAACUUUCGAAAAUUCCUUUUAUUUUCAUAUAAAAACAAUGUAUAUGCCACAAAAAUAUUCACCAAAUUUAAAAUUUUUUUCAAAAAUACUUCAAAAUUUAUAUAAAUUACCAUCAGAAUUAUUAACAUGAAUUCAAAUUUUUAUUAUUUUAUCAUAAAUAAUAAUAAUAGUUCUGGAAAUUUUGUUAAUUUUAAUUCUGUUA